Molecule: unclassified non-coding RNA, 3560 nt
Filed under: Polistes dominula (European paper wasp)
Lineage: Eukaryota; Metazoa; Arthropoda; Insecta; Hymenoptera; Vespidae
Description: piggyBac transposable element-derived protein 4-like, transcript variant X1
Source: RNAcentral
UAUUAGAAUAGGAUUGAGAAAUAAACAAGGAAUACAAAUUUUACCCAUAACUGUCCUUGUUAAUCACACACUUUUUCAUAAAAUUAAAUGAUCAAAAAUCUACAACUACAUUAUUACGUAACUUGGCAUACUUCAAUUAGUUUACAAUUGCUACAUUCAUACCAUACCUUCUGUCUACACCAGCGCCAUUCUGGAAGGUCUUUGAACUGUUAUUUAUAAAAAACCCUGGACACUUUUUCACAUUUUCUCCCAUAAGAGAUGUUACUCCUUAUCUCUAUCCUCCAUAGAAAUAAGAAUUGUUUAUUUCUUUCAGGAAAUUAUAACCUAAACGUAUAAACGUAACGUAGGAUUACAUAUAACUAAAGUAAAACGUAUGUAUGUAAACGUAUGUAACUCUUGUAUUGUUAAUGUUUAUACCAAGACGUUCAUACAGAGUUUAAGAGUAUUUUUUAAACAUCUUUAUUUCUGAUCACUAAAAUGUUUGUUAGACAGUACGAAAGUGUAAUUGAAAAUGAGUCGAGUAGCGAUGAAGAAGUAUUCAAAUUUCAAAGAAAACUUAAUAAUAUUAUUGCAUCAAAUUCAAGCUCAGAAAAUGAGAAUUCGUAUGAGAGUGAAGAUUUUGAAGAACUAUUAGAAAACCUGUCUACAGAAGAAGAGAAUGAACAAAAUGAUACUGUUGGUUUAUUUGACAAUAUCCAGUGGAUGCAGUUUACCGGAAAACAAAAAUCAUUUGAAUUCACUGGGAAUAGUGGACUUCUUGUAAAACUACCUGCAAGUAUUACAGCGGGUCAAGUUCUUUCUCUCUUUUUGAAUGAACAAGUGAUAGACCUUAUAGUGGUGGAAACAAACAGGUAUGCAGAGAAAAAAUUUGGUCAAAAUACUAACAGCGAAUACCUUCAAGAUAAUAGAUGGGAACCAACAAAUUCUGAAGAGAUCAAAAUAUUUCUUGGAUUAUUGCUUUGGAUGGAGUUAGUGCAAGUGCCACUAAACGAAUAUUGGUCAACAAAUCCUAUUUAUAAUUUUCCAUUUCCCCGUAGUAAAAUGUCUCGGAAACGAUUCAAAUUAUUAUUAUCAAAUUUACAUUUUUCAAACAACGAAGCCAUACAACAAAAUAAUCGACUUGGAAAAGUAUUACUAUUAUUGCAAAUACUUACAGAUAAUUAUCAACAAAUAUUUUUACCUGGCCCAGAAAUUGUAGUUGAUGAGACUAUAGUUCCUUGGAGGGGAAGGCUUUUAUUCAGGCAAUACAUACCGACAAAGUCAUAUAAACAUGGGAUGAAACUGUUUAAAUUAUGUUCUACAGAAGGUUAUACAUGGUCCAUUAAAAUAUAUGCUGGACGAGAUAUCUGUGGGAUCAAUCAAACCUGUAGUAUUAUACCCGAAAAUGUUUGCAUCGAGCUCAUUAAUAAGCUAUUAAAUGAAGGACGUACCUUGUAUAUUGACAAUUUUUAUACAAGCUACGAAUUAGCAAUAAAAUUAUUAAAUUUCAAAACCUAUGUUGUUGGAACAGUACGUCACAACAGAAAUUUUAUGCCAAAAGAUGUUAUGUUUCACCAAUUGCAAAGGGGUGAAAUAAUAUCACGGGAAGACGAUAAUGGCAUUGUAGUGCUGAAGUGGAAAAAUAUCCGUGAUGUCAGUAUAUUAUCAUCGAAACAUGCACCUGUUAUGGUACCAAUUUCGGAUUCUUCCAUUCUUAGUAGUCGUCGUCCUCCAAAAACUAAACCAUUGGCAGUAAUAGCAUACGAUACUGUAAGAUCUGGCAUUGAUAGAAACCACCAAAUGGUAUCAUAUGCAACAACAAUUCGGAAGAGCAUAAAAUGGUAUCAGAAACUAGCAAUUCACUUCCUUAUAGGAAUUACCGUAAUUAAUGCACAUAUUGUUUAUCAAAAAGCAACAAACCAAAAAAUAAAAAUAAGAAAAUUCCGAGAGCUUAUAGUUCAAGAGUGGUUGGAGUCGGAAAACGCAAAACCCCAUAUAAUAGAAAAAGCGUUUCAUCAAUUGCAAGUUCGAAAAAAUCCUCAGGGCAAAUCUAUAAGAAGGAUGUGCGUACGGUGCUACGCAAAACAAAGACAAACUCAACAACGCCAGGAAGUAAGAAAAAAUUUACAAAAGACCAUAACUUAUUGUCCUGAAUGCCCACGGUCACCUCAAUUAUGUUUCUUAUGUUUUAACGAAUUCCAUCAUAACCAAUAAAAAGCUAUAUGAAUCUAUCUACAACACCUAUCCGUGUUGUUGGAGGGAGAUCUGUACAAAGAAUUACAGACUCAGAUUUACUUACAGACACAGAACAACUUUUUAUCAGACGGAGCUUUACAGAGAAUCAGAGAACCACUUAACUUAACUUAUCUACACGUAUUUAUACAAAAAGUAACCUACGCCCUUUUGGAGAGGGGCAGGGAAGAUAUUAAUCUUAUUGGCCUUCAGCAUUCACUGGAGGUGGGGGGCCAAAAUCGGAAAAGCUCGGUCUCCCAUCGUUUUUAAUUGUUACCGUCAACGGUCCUCUCCUUGGUAACUAUCAACGAUUUUUCAUAAACAACCGUCAACGGUUAUCCCUUUAGCAACCAUCAACGGUUAUCUCCCUAGCAACCGCCAACGGUUUUCCAAUUGUUAUGAGAAAGAGAAUAACACAAAAGAAGAAGAUCGUAACCUAAUACGACUUAUCGCCUACACAUAACGUUAAAAGUACACCUACUGUACAAAAUACCAAACAUAAUUGAUGCUUGAAAUUCACGCCAAUAAAGAUGGACAGAUCACGGGGCGCGCAUGGGAAGGGUUGAACGGAAAAAGACUACUGGGUAGACCGAGACGUAGAUAGGAGGACAAUAUUAGGAGGGAUUUUAAAGAAAUAGGCUACGAAGACCGCGAAUGGAGAGGAGGUCGCCCUCAGGAACAGGAACACUGGCGGGAUAUUUAGUAUUUGCUGCAAUUGCUUUUCAAGUUCCUAAUGCUAAUUAAUAAUUAUAAUAAUAAUGUUAUUGAAUUAUAACGUGUUUCUUUUACAACGACUUUUGAAGAGAACAUUUUGUUGGAAUCCUUGUGAUUCAAAACUCAAUGAAAUGAAAAAAAUACUACCAAAAUUGUUUCGUUUUUUUUUUCAAGCAUUUAAAGGAAUUAGUAGCAACAACAAAAAUUACUUAUGUGUGUAAACCCAUAAUAAAGAUAUCUCAAAUUCACAGAAAGACUAUCAUCUACCGGACUUUCAAAAAAGGAUAUAUUAUAUUUACUUAGGUUAGGACAGUGUAUCUUUCUGUCGACAAACAUUCUACAAUUUUUUGUUCUAUCUAUAGCUAUCGCAUUCGGCAUUCUAUCUUAAUUGAUACCAUUUUGAAAGUGAUAGUUUUUGUCAGCUACCCUCCAUCCCAAGAUCAUGCCGGUGCCCUUUGAUAUAUAUGUGUGGUUUCACUUUUAACACGUGUGAUCUGCAUACAUGAUAUUUAGAAUAUGAAACGGGCCAUCACAACUUCCUACACACGGACAGAAUCUGGCCUUCUUCAUGACUACCCUGGUCAAACUACAUAAGAUAAUUUUUUGGUUUAAAAGAAAAUAUGUAAAAUAAAUGA